RNAcentral lists this ribosomal RNA (491 nucleotides) under uncultured Gammaproteobacteria bacterium. RNAcentral's name for it is "bacterial SSU rRNA". It matches the Rfam family "Bacterial small subunit ribosomal RNA", at positions 43 to 527 of the family's 1533-position model. The record is from RNAcentral. Lineage: Bacteria; Pseudomonadati; Pseudomonadota; Gammaproteobacteria.
CAGGCCUAACACAUGCAAGUCGAGCGGUAACAUGGUUGGUAGCAAUACUAACUGAUGACGAGCGGCGGACGGGUGAGGAACACGUAGGAACCUACCAUUAAGAGGGGGAUAACUAAGGGAAACUUUAGCUAAUACCGCAUAAUCUUGAGAAAGCAAAGUUGCCGCAAGGUGACACUUAAUGAGGGGCCUGCGUCCGAUUAGCUAGUUGGUGAGGUAAGAGCUCACCAAGGCGAUGAUCGGUAACUGGUCUGAGAGGACGACCAGUCACACUGGGACUGAGACACGGCCCAGACUCCUACGGGAGGCAGCAGUGGGGAAUCUUGGACAAUGGGGGCAACCCUGAUCCAGCGAUGCCGCGUGAGUGAAGAAGGCCCUCGGGUCGUAAAGCUCUUUAGGUUGGGAAGAAGUUUGUUUGGUGAUAAUCCAAGCAGAUUGACGGUACCGACAGAAUAAGCACCGGCAAACUCUGUGCCAGCAGCCGCGGUAAUACA